GCGGAAAAUCGGGUAAUCGCUCUAUGAAGCUUUAGUGGAUUAGAGAGGAAAGUCCGGACACCAACAGGCACCACGCUCAACGAUCCUUCGGGCGAAGUUGAGGCUCGGUUAGGGCGACCUGGCCGGGACAGAAAGUGCAACAGAAAGCAAACCGUCUCGAUUCGUCGGGAUAAGGGUGAAAAGGUGAGGUAAGAGCUCACCGCCCCGUACUGUGAAGUCGGGGGCAAGGUAAACCUCGUGGGGUGCAAGCUCAUGUAGGGUGGUAUGCGUCGCUUGUCGUAAAGCCACCGGGUGGAGUGCACCAGAUAAAUGAUUACCGAAUCCCGGGUAUCCGGGAGGAACAAAAUCCGGCUUAUAGAUUUUCCGCUAUA
This 371-nucleotide RNase P RNA is filed under the name Balneola sp. RNAcentral describes it as "Bacterial RNase P class A". It matches the Rfam family "Bacterial RNase P class A". Rfam says of the family: Ribonuclease P (RNase P) is a ubiquitous endoribonuclease, found in archaea, bacteria and eukarya as well as chloroplasts and mitochondria. Its best characterised activity is the generation of mature 5'-ends of tRNAs by cleaving the 5'-leader elements of precursor-tRNAs. The record is from Rfam by way of RNAcentral. Lineage: Bacteria; Pseudomonadati; Balneolota; Balneolia; Balneolales; Balneolaceae.